Long non-coding RNA from Acanthaster planci (crown-of-thorns starfish), 1431 nucleotides. RefSeq lists it as uncharacterized. Lineage: Eukaryota; Metazoa; Echinodermata; Asteroidea; Valvatida; Acanthasteridae. The record is from RefSeq and is a predicted model, not a curated record.
CGGUUAUGAGACGCGGCGCGGGCGGGCGGCCGCGGUACGUGUGCGCGGCGCGCAACCAUUUUGUAUGCAAGAUGGCGUCGAGUGCGUGAGAGGGAAAAGAGCAACGUGCCGAUCAGUGAAGAGUCAGAGGAUGUUAUUGUAGCAGCAACACUGAAGAAACAUCAUGAUCAUAUCCAGGAUCAAUCGUAGGCUCAUUGCCAACAGGCUUUUGGAGAUGAGUGGCGUGCGACCCAGUGACACAGCCAUACCAAAGACAGCCCUCUUCCUCUUCUUCAUUGGGAUUGGCCUGUCUGUUUUCAGCUCCCACAGGCUCCUGACAACACAGUCCUGCCGCUCUGUCCUUUCCAAACAGGAAUGAUACUCUCUAAACCCACCUGUUUAAGCCAAGGACACAGACACAUGUAAAGCAUUGGGCUGGAGAAUGUUGGGGGGCAAUAACAACUCCAGGUUGAUGUUUUGCUGGACAUGGAGCAGCCCUCAUCUGUGUAAAUAGCUCGGAUAAAAUGAACUCUGCCCUGUAGCCUCUAGAGGUCACGUGAAAGCCACACUGUACUUAUGCCAAAUGCACGUAUCAUCAUUUGGGGUGUGGCCUAUAAGACAUGUAAGGGCUAAAUGGGGUUGUUGGUGACUACUAUACAAUUGGUUGCAUCUCUGUGGCCUACUGUGGUGUAUGUAUUCUAAGCACUUCGACAUAAUUAGAUGAAUGGCUACACCUGCCGUUGUGCCAAUUCUAGAGGAGUUUUAGUUGAUGUAUUCAGCUGGUUUAAUUUCCUGACACAAGCGUUCAUGCUAUUUACUAAUGUUACUCACAUGGUAAAUAUGCCGGAAUUUAAGGUUGUUCUUAUUUGUACACACGGGAGUUGGUUUGCUUUGUCUGCAUGACUCUGUUAGUGACAGCCCACUCAUGUUGUACAGGUUACAUGCUUCAUCAAGCAGAAGUUGGAGGAAAGGCUCAAGGUAAUGCAGUGUAAUGUGUAAAAUGAUAAAGUCCAGAAAAUUCUCAAUAUUGAUGGAACAACUUUAAUUUGUGAGGUCAAAGUUAUCACAAUGUCGACAGUGAUUCGGCUUGAAUUUCUCUUUAAAAAAGACUUUGCGUGUACUAACUUGGGAAUGUUGACAAACUGUUCUAGGUUGGGACUGGGUGAACACAAUGUUGAAGGCUGUGAUAUGAAACACAGCAGUUUCAAUGCAAUGUUGAUAUGUGUGUAAAAAAAAGCUUUUCGUUUCACGUGAAGUGUUGGAAAGAGCUGUAUUUGGCAUGUGUGCCAUUCAUGAAAGGAAUCUCAAGUGAAGCAAAUCUCUGUUUUAAGGUCUACAGUGCAAACGUGGUUUGGUUUUGCUCCUCAUUAAACCCAGUGGACUCGGAUCAAACAGUGCCUAACACGUUUUGUUGACUCAGAUUGAGGUAAUAAAUAAAUGUUAUGAACAAAU